RNAcentral lists this small nuclear RNA (190 nucleotides) under Punctularia strigosozonata HHB-11173 SS5. RNAcentral describes it as "U2 spliceosomal RNA". It matches the Rfam family "U2 spliceosomal RNA". From Rfam's summary of the family: U2 is a small nuclear RNA (snRNA) component of the spliceosome (involved in pre-mRNA splicing). Complementary binding between U2 snRNA (in an area lying towards the 5' end but 3' to hairpin I) and the branchpoint sequence (BPS) of the intron results the bulging out of an unpaired adenosine, on the BPS, which initiates a nucleophilic attack at the intronic 5' splice site, thus starting the first of two transesterification reactions that mediate splicing. The record is from Rfam by way of RNAcentral. Lineage: Eukaryota; Fungi; Basidiomycota; Agaricomycetes; Corticiales; Punctulariaceae.
UCACCACUCUGGCCCUAGUGGCUUAGAUGAAGUGUAGUAUCUGUUCUUGAUAGUGUAACCACUAUUAUAGAGGCACUGCCUCUCUCAUUGAUUAUCCUAUUUUUGCUGCCCUUGCCUGUCGAGCUCUGCUUGCACCUCGUCGGCACGAUGUCCUUGGUAUUGCAGUACCUUCAUGCGACGUCGGGGGAUC